This is a long non-coding RNA of Pan paniscus (pygmy chimpanzee), 902 nucleotides long. Lineage: Eukaryota; Metazoa; Chordata; Mammalia; Primates; Hominidae. The record is from Ensembl.
UGCCCUGAAAUAAAGCACCACGGAGUGGAUCUGCAAAAAGAAGGUCUUUAUUCAUGGUUAGCAGGAGGGUCAUUGUGAAAGUAAGACUCCCCUGCCUUCUGGCCAUAAGCAAAGGUUUUAUAUGUCUCAGGGAAGCAGGUUGAUCAGGAGUAAAAGGAACAAGGAAACAAGAAUGUGAUGUGCCAGGCAAAGUAGUUUUCUAAAGCAAAUGGCCUCAGGGUGGAAGAUGGAAAGAGAAAACCAUAUGAAAAAAAGACACAAAUUUCUAAAAAAGCAUCCUGUCUUUGAAGAGUGGCAAAUACUAUUCUGUUUUUGAGUACAGAAAUAGAUCCAACUUGGAAUUAUAAAACAGAAUGUGCCUCAUCACUUGGACUUAACCAUAUGACUGGCUUUGACCAAUAAAAUAUAAGUGGAAAUUCUACUAUGCUACCUCCAAGAAAAGUCUUAAAGAAGUCUGGAAAAUUUCCACAUCUCUCUAUACAUGUCCUCUGUCCCCAAUCAGAAGAAAACAUACUAGGAAGUUGUUAAUUCUUUAGCUCAGAUCCUGGAAUGAAGACACCUGGAGUAUACUUGAAAGUCUGAAGUCCAGCUGACCCCCAGCUCAAAUUAGUGAAAGUACAGUCCACCAGCCAACCUGUGAGCAGUAAAUAAAUAUUUGUUUUAAGUUACUAUAUUCAGAAUAAUUGUACCAAAUUUAUCUCAAGUUAUCAGUUCUCCAGGGAUAGUAUGACAGCUACUUGUUGAGACCUUGGACACUUUUAUCUUUUAGGCACAAUAUAUUUAACUGACUUUCAUCUUCAAGCAAAGAGUUGUUCUCCAAAUGGCAAUUGGAAUUUGCAGGUAACAUUUCUAAUAUAUAUUUUGCCAAACUUACCUACAAUAGAGCCAUAAAACUAUAAUCU